This 253-nucleotide ribosomal RNA is filed under the name uncultured bacterium. RNAcentral describes it as "partial 16S ribosomal RNA". It matches the Rfam family "Bacterial small subunit ribosomal RNA", at positions 524 to 776 of the family's 1533-position model. The record is from RNAcentral.
GACAGAGGGUGCAAACGUUGCUCGGAAUCACUGGGCGUAAAGGGUGCGUAGGCGGGUCUUUAAGUCCGGGGUGAAAUCCUGGAGCUCAACUCCAGAACUGCCUUUGAUACUGAGGAUCUUGAGUUCGGGAGAGGUGAGUGGAACUGCGAGUGUAGAGGUGAAAUUCGUAGAUAUUCGCAAGAACACCAGUGGCGAAGGCGGCUCACUGGCCCGAUACUGACGCUGAGGCACGAAAGCGUGGGGAGCAAACAGG